UGGGGAAUAUUGGGCAAUGGGCGCAAGCCUGACCCAGCCACGCCGCGUGAGUGAUGAAGGCCUUCGGGUCGUAAAGCUCUGUGGGAGGGGAAGAAAGCCCCUUGGCUAAUAUCCAAGGGUUUGACGGUACCCUUUUAGCAAGCACCGGCUAACUCCGUGCCAGCAGCCGCGGUAAUACGGAGGGUGCAAACGUUGCUCGGAAUUAUUGGGCGUAAAGCGCACGUAGGCGGCACAGCAAGUUGGAUGUGAAAGCCCUCGGCUUAACCGAGGAAGUGCAUUCAAAACUACUGAGCUUGAGUACAAAAGAGGAUCGCGGAAUUCCCGGUGUAGAGGUGAAAUUCGUAGAUAUCGGGAGGAACACCAGCGGCGAAGGCGGCGAUCUGGGUUGAUACUGACGCUGAUGUGCGAAAGCGUGGGGAGCAAACAG
This 427-nucleotide ribosomal RNA is filed under the name uncultured bacterium. Its description in RNAcentral is "bacterial SSU rRNA". It matches the Rfam family "Bacterial small subunit ribosomal RNA", at positions 355 to 775 of the family's 1533-position model. The record is from RNAcentral.